CUCCUAGGCAGACUGCCUACCACGGCUGACGAGCUCCACCUGCCCGGGUUUUAUGAUCGGAGUUUGCUCUCCUAGGUGUAUUACCUAUGACGGCUCACGAGCCCAACCUGCCCGGGUUUAUUGUUCGGAGUUUGCUCUCCUAGGUGUAUUACCUAUGACGGCUCACGAGCCCAACCUGCCCGGGUUUAUUGUUCGGAGUUUGCUCUCCUAGGUGAAUUGCCUACCACAGCUAACGAACCUCACCUGCCCGGGUUUGUAAUCGGAGUUUGCUCUCCUAGGUGAACUGCUUUCGCUAACGACCUCCACCUGCCCGGGUUUGUAAUCGGAGUUUGCUCUCCUAGAUGAAUUGCUUUCGCUAACGACCUCCACCUGCCCGGGUUUGUAAUCGGAGUUUGCUCUCCUAGGUGAACUGCUCACGCUAACGACCUCCACCUGCCCGGUUUUGUAAUCGGAGUUUGCUCUCCUAGAUGAACUGCUUUCGCUAACGACCUCCACCUGCCCGGGUUUAUUUUUCGGAGUUUGCUCUCCUAGGUGUAUUACCUAUGACGGCUCACGAGCCCAACCUGCCCGGGUUUAUUGUUCGGAGUUUGCUCUCCUAGGUGAAUUGCCUACCACGGCUAACGAGCCCCACCUGCCCGGGUUUGUUGUUCGGAGUUUGCUCUCCUAGGCAGAUUGCCUACCACGGCUAACGAGCCCCACCUGCCCGGCGUUGUAGCCGAAAGAUCUCCGGCACCUCCGUCGGGGUCCC
Molecule: long non-coding RNA, 748 nt
Organism: Eriocheir sinensis (Chinese mitten crab)
Lineage: Eukaryota; Metazoa; Arthropoda; Malacostraca; Decapoda; Varunidae
Exons: 3
Source: RefSeq, a predicted model, not a curated record